UUCUCAGAGAGUUAACAGCCCUCGCUUCUCCGGCCUCAUGACUCGCCGGGCUCAUUCCUUCAAGCGCAACAACACUAACGCCACCGCCGCCCACGGCACCACCACCACCACCAAUCGCAAUACCCAAGUCACCAACACGAAUAAUAACAAUAGUACCAAUAGCCACGAGAUUAAUUUGCAAGUUAAUUCGCCUAGAUCUGAACAUGUUGAAGUGUUUGAGAGGCAGGGCCACCCCCAAAAUGUGACCCAGAGAAUUCAUGGGGGAGUUGCCAAGAGUUUGCUCAAUAAGAAGGGCGGUUUUGGAUCGGCAGUGGUGGAUUUGGGCUUUAGAGAGAGGAGGAGGUUGGGACACUGGAUGUUUUUUGUGUUUUGUGGGGUGUGUUUG
Molecule: unclassified non-coding RNA, 385 nt
Filed under: Hevea brasiliensis (rubber tree)
Lineage: Eukaryota; Viridiplantae; Streptophyta; Magnoliopsida; Malpighiales; Euphorbiaceae
Source: RNAcentral